This 262-nucleotide long non-coding RNA is filed under the name Carica papaya (papaya). Its description in RNAcentral is "long non-coding RNA (CPAP_LNC002621)". Lineage: Eukaryota; Viridiplantae; Streptophyta; Magnoliopsida; Brassicales; Caricaceae. The record is from RNAcentral.
GCAGUAUUAGCAACAGCAGCAGUAGUAGUAGUGGUUGUAGCAGUAAUAGAAAUAAUAGCAGCAGUACCAGUAAUAGCAGUAGCAGUAAUACCUACUAUAGUAGUAAUAACAGUAAUAGCAAUAGUAAACGUAAUAGUAGUAAUAGCAGUAGCUGUAGUAUUAGUAGUAAUAGUAGUAGUAGUAGUAUUAGUAGUAAUAGUAGUAGUAGUAAUAGUAGUACCUAUAAAUACUCAUGUACUUGAAGGCUUUCAACAUCAACCAU